UAAGGUGCAUCUAGUGCAGUUAGUGAAGUAGCUUAGAAUCUACUGCCCUGAAUGCUCCUUCUGGC
RNAcentral lists this microRNA precursor (65 nucleotides) under Sphenodon punctatus (tuatara). Its description in RNAcentral is "Spt-Mir-17-P2c_pre stem-loop". It matches the Rfam family "mir-17 microRNA precursor family", at positions 11 to 80 of the family's 80-position model. From Rfam's summary of the family: This family represents the microRNA (miRNA) precursor mir-17, family, which includes mir-20, mir-91, and mir-103. miRNAs are transcribed as ~70nt precursors (modelled here) and subsequently processed by the Dicer enzyme to give a ~22nt product. In this case the mature sequence comes from the 3' arm of the precursor. Lineage: Eukaryota; Metazoa; Chordata; Lepidosauria; Sphenodontia; Sphenodontidae. The record is from RNAcentral. RNAcentral also lists the same sequence under 2 other names.